Molecule: ribosomal RNA, 253 nt
Filed under: uncultured prokaryote
Description: partial 16S ribosomal RNA
Rfam family: Bacterial small subunit ribosomal RNA
Source: RNAcentral
ACGAAGGGGGCUAGCGUUGUUCGGAAUUACUGGGCGUAAAGCGUGCGCAGGCGGCCAUCCAAGUCAGUGGUGAAAGCCCAGAGCUCAACUCUGGAACUGCCUUUAAGACUGCAUCGCUUGAAUUGUGGAGAGGUAAGUGGAAUUCCGAGUGUAGAGGUGAAAUUCGUAGAUAUUCGGAAGAACACCAGUGGCGAAGGCGACUUACUGGACACAUAUUGACGCUGAGGUGCGAAAGCGUGGGGAGCAAACAGGA